AAGAGAAUAAAUCUGAUACUCGUGGAGAUGAUGGUAGUCAUGAUAAUCCAACAACUGAGAAAUCAGAUCACCAGAAGAAAGAUGAUGCUAGUCAAGAUAAUGCAACAACUGAAAAAUCAGAUCACCAGAAGAAAGAUGAUGGUAGUCAUGAUAAUGCGAUAACUGAGAAAUCAGAUCACCAGAAGAAAGAUGAUGCUAGUCAAGAUAAUGCAACAACUGAAAAAUCAGAUCACCAGAAGAAAGAUGAUGGUAGUCAAGAUAAUGCAGCAACUGAGAAAUCAGAUCAC
RNAcentral lists this long non-coding RNA (287 nucleotides) under Prunus persica (peach). Its description in RNAcentral is "long non-coding RNA (PPER_LNC004507)". The record is from RNAcentral. Lineage: Eukaryota; Viridiplantae; Streptophyta; Magnoliopsida; Rosales; Rosaceae.